RNAcentral lists this ribosomal RNA (555 nucleotides) under Pleuronema coronatum. RNAcentral describes it as "partial small subunit ribosomal RNA". The stretch from base 1 to 456 matches the Rfam family "Bacterial small subunit ribosomal RNA", at positions 918 to 1533 of the family's 1533-position model. The record is from RNAcentral. Lineage: Eukaryota; Ciliophora; Oligohymenophorea; Pleuronematida; Pleuronematidae.
AAUUUAUAAGAAUGGUGGAACAUGUGGUUUAAUUCGACAAUCCACGAAAAACCUUACCAAUAUAAAUGUAUAUUUUUUUAUUUAAAAAAAUAAAAAUAAAAAAAAAAUAUAACGGAAUUGCAUGGCUGUCGUCAGUUCGUGUUGUGAAAUGUAGAGUUAAUUCUUUUUUUAGUACGAACGCAAGCUAACUAAAUAAACAUACUAAAACUUUUUUUAUAUGUUUUUUAGAUUAGUUGAAGUCAAGUCAACAUGGUCUAAAUAUAUUGGGCUACACACGUGUUACAAAGAUAAAUACAAAAAGUUACAAUAAUGUAAAUUGGAGUAAAUCUUUAAAAAUUAUCUUAGUACAGAUUAUUUUUUGAAACUCAAAAAUAUGAAGACGGAAUCAUUAGUAAUUAUAUUUAAUUAUAGUAUAGUGAAUGUACUUAAAUUUUGCACACACUGCCCAUCACGCUUGGAAAAUAUUUUGGUAUAUAGAUUUAUAUAUUUUAGAUCUACAAAAAAUAAGUUUAUUCUAAAAUUUUUAUAUUGAUUAAGAAUACUAUUAUGUAAUUU